RNAcentral lists this long non-coding RNA (4837 nucleotides) under Gallus gallus (chicken). Lineage: Eukaryota; Metazoa; Chordata; Aves; Galliformes; Phasianidae. The record is from RNAcentral.
AGUCAGCACUGAGACUGCCUGGGAAGCUUUCUGCUUGGCCUCCCAUCCGCAGCCCUCAAACCCGGAACGUGCAUCUGUGCUGCAGAGCAGCUCUCUGUCAGCCUUCCUUCUAGAAAGUGACACUUGGUGAGAAGAUGCAUUGUGCUGCCAGGGCUCUGCACAGCCUCAGGCAAGUGCAAAUAAUGAAAGGAAAGGAAAUCCUGUCCUCUGUUACAAAGCCUCACUCUGGGGCUCUCCAUCCAUCUCUGAAGGGCAGCGGAAAAUGACACUUUUAUUAGCUUAGGCCAAUCUCCAUUUAAUGCUGUCCACUCAGGGGAAGAUGACAAGGAGGGAACUAGGGCUGUCGUGAUCAAGGUCAAAGAAACCACACAGUACAACUCAUACUGUUCUCUGUGUCCAUUCUUCAAUCAGAGGAGCUUCAUUAUGUGUAUUUUUCCCUUUUCCAUUCUGGCUUUUGCUGUUUAUUUCCCUCCUGUUAUUCAGUAACCUCAUUAAUUUUCAGGAGUUGUGGUUUUCCUGCAGACAUUUCCACCACUGCUUUUAAAAUCUCACUGGUUGCCUUAAUUGACCUUUCAGCUUCACUUUGUAGUGUAUGUCUGCUAUGAUACACUUAUGGGUUUUUUUCUCUCUCUCUCCCUUUGGUAAAUUUCACUCUGAACUACACAAAGCAACACGACUCGGGUCACCAUCUGACAGUCUCCAUUGUGCUGGCAUAAGACUCUUAGUUUAUUACCAAUAGACACUAUCGUGAAUGGUACCCUGCUGGUCUGUGGGCCUGUAUAUGUAGGACUUCAGCAUUCAGUAAGUUUGCUUCAAAUGCUCUGAAGAGCAUUCAAGGGUCACACUUUUGGAUCAGAACGUUUCCAUUCCAGAAUUCAGUUACUUAAGCAGUGGUAAUGCAUUUUUUUUUCCUCCAGUGAUGUUAAAGCAAAGCUCAAGAGAUGGCCCAGUUUGAAGUCUAGGGAUAAAACAAAGCUUCCAGUUUUCUCCUGAUGCUGCUAGGGGCUAAUAUUGCUUCAUUGGCAUGGCUCAGCAAGGUAAAACAGCUUUGCAUGGAAAUUGUCUGAGCUGUUCUUGAUCCAUGCAAACCACCUUCUGCUUUAGUGCUGGCUGUGAGAGUUGCCUAUGAGGGUGGUUUGAUCUGGGGACCAAAGGCAGGAAGAGGAAAGUGAUUGGGGUGGUGCUGCAGGUUCUAGAAACACCUGGAGAACACUGAUAGUGGCUCCUUUAAAAAAGCAUACCCACCUCCUUCCAGCAGACUAAAAAUACACCUCCAGGUGUCCCAUUUACAGAUUGGUCUGUUGGGGAAGAACGUGUGUGUGUGUGUAUAUAUAUUAAUCUGGUUUUGCUAUUUGGUAAUGAGAGGAGCCUGCUUUGUGGUUCAUCACCCACUGUAUGGAAAAACAGAAAAACAAAAACUUAAUGUUAGAGUUCAGAUCAUAUUGAUCUUUCCUUUUUUUUGUUGUUGUUGUUUUCUUUUGCUUUUGAACUAUGACUUGAAUCAGUUUUGAUUCUAUUUGUACGUGUUUUUCUUGUUCUUAGAAAGCUGCCGUUUUCUUUUGCGUUUUUCUUUGGCAUUAUAUAGAAAAUCUGAGCCUUGGUUUUCAACCCUCUGCAGGUGGUCGUAGGGUUAAGAUGGCUUUUUGUUUUGUUCUUACAUUUCACUUGUCUUGUUGCAUGACGGUUCAUAGCUGAUUUGGAAAUGACAUUUCUCUCCUAGGUUAAUUUUGUGUUUGUAUGAUGUGCAUAUUGCUUUGCAGAAUAAAAACGAUGAAGUUUACUCUGCUGUCUUUAUUUCUCCUCUCCAGUUGCUAUGGAGGUUUCAUAAACCAUUUACAUUACAGAGACCCUUGGAAGGGGAAUUGGUAGUGAAGUUUGUGAUAGGUUGGAAUUCCAAACGUUGCUGUACUUACAUGGCAUGCAGAAUUGAUGUGGAGUUUUUUAUGUAUUGUGGGGCAGGGAAUGUAAUGCUGUAUGGCUGCUAUAAUGGAGAAUUUACGACCUGCUUAUCUCUCCUGUUGCUUUCUUUGAGCUCUGGUUGUCAUUUGGUCCCUCUUACCAGUCGCAGGUACAUAAAGCUUGCUUUAUUGCUACAGUGCAGGUCUCUGUGCUGAAUACAUAGGUGGAGUGAACGAUGCCUGUCCUUCAUGUCAUCAGUUUUCUUCAGGUUUAGCAGCAAAAUGCUCAGCAGGUUGGUUUCUCACUGCAGUGAGGUCCUCUGAAAGGAACCUAAGACAGAAAUGAACAGUUGUUUGCUCUGCUCUCAGCUUCCUGCUGGCCUUGGUGGUUAUCAGGCCCUCCUUCCCAGCCUCCUUGCUGCAGGUGCUGUUACCCAGCUGAACCCAAACCAGUUCCAGAGCAUUCCUCAGUGCCUGCAGGUGGUUUGGGAUCGUUAAAGGGCAUCUGUGGAUGGCUGUUGAAAUCGAGACAAUAGAACUCGUUAAAUUCCAGCUCCAGUUACUGUGCAGCUGGAAUGAGCUGCACCUGUGUGCUUGCAGUGCUACAGAGCAGGAAAGACGUACUUGGGGUUGUCCUGCAAAGCUUGUUACAAGCUGGGCACCCCGUGUUUGGCAGACACAAGGCAGCCUGUCUUGCCUCUCUGGAGGAUGUGGUUCGAAGCCCUCACGCAGUGUUCUGACUCUGGGUGUUUCCAGAUGGGGCCUAUUCAAAUCCUGUGACAAAUGGGAGCAUUGUUUAAAAGCAAAGCUGUAAAGUUGUUGUAGAGUUUUUGCUGGGGAGGGAAACUCUGAGAAUCAAUAAGUGGGGGGGAGGGAAGUGAAUUUAAGAGAACAGCUGUGCCAAAUCCCUUUGGUCUGGCUCUAGGAAGUCUGGCUAGUUCUGAAAUGCCUGCCCAGUGUUAGCAUUAAUGCUCUGUUAGCAUGCUCUCUGAGUUCGUCCAUCACUGAGUUAGCAAAGCGACCUUCUUGGCCUCUGCUGCACUCAGCCUGUCAGCAGUGAGGAAAGGAGACACCAGGACAUGUCUGUGCUUGUUUCCAGUUCAACACACCCUCCUUCAUAACUCACACAGCCUCCGUUUGGGAAAUGCACGUUUAUGUUCAGCAAGCUCUGUAGAUAUGUAACUUCCUUGAAGAGAAUCCUGUUUCUAGAACUAUUACUGCAUAGCAUUACGCGUGAGUAAACUUGCAAGGAGGAUCAGUGGUGAAUUCCCAUUGGGGAGAACAAUAAAUGGAGACAGCCAAGGUCGGGCUGACCGGGCUGUGAGCACUGAUGGAGCUGUGGGUGUCCCCGUGCAUUGCAGGCAGUGGGACCAGAUGGCCUUUGGGGGUCCCUUCCAACUCCAACCCUUCUAUGAUUUAAUCCUUUGUCUUUUUUAGAGCAGAGGCCGUCAGGGAUACCUGGCAAACCCCUUACAAAGGGAAAGUCUUGCUGUCAUAUAGUGCCAACACAUUAAGCUGAGUUCUUUCAGGGCCCCCUCCUGGCUCCUCUUGGCACCAGCAGCCCGAGGGAUGUUUUAUGCAGGCAGUGCAAUGGGAGAAAACCCGGCUGCUGGGCUGAUGUGCACCAGGACAUUUCCCAGAGCUGGAAGAUUGGGCUCAGGAGUACCAUCUUAUGGCACGGAUGGCAUUUCUUUAUUCAGAUUUCUGUCACUGCCUUUUUGAGAGAGAGUUUCAAGGAAACCCUGAGCUCAGGAGUUAAGGCGAAUAAGCACGCUGGCAGCUGCUGAAACGUAGGUUGUGAGUUUCUCUCUGCCAUUCAGCCUUAAUCAAAAUGCUGCUUGUGAAGGACUGCCCGGUGGAAGGAGAGAUCUGUAGCCAGAAGCAGAAAGCCACACAUGUGCCUUUAACCAUUUAGCUCAAUGACUUCAAAACCUGAUAUUUGAGCUCACCAACGUCCUCCUGGAUGAUCCCUGAGGAUUCGUGUGGACAAAGGUUUCUCUGUGGCCUCUGCUUGACUUGAGCAGCCUUUCUAUCAGCCUUUGCCAAGCGCUCAGGUGUGGGGCACUGACCUUGAGAUGCCCAGCAGUGCUGUGCUGAAAACAGUUCAGCUAAAUAAAUGGCAGGAAUGCUGAGAAGCAAGGUGCAGAGUUGCUGGGUUUGGAUCUUUGUGCAUUGCUGUCCAUCAGCAUUCUUGAUGCCUUUUUUGCAUCUCUAGGUGACACGGGCAACUUGCUUUGUGUUUCUGGGUCUCGCUUUUCUCCUUGGUAAAGGGCUUUUGGAGUGCUGUGACCUUGGUGGAGGUUUCCUGACCUGCAGGCCUUCCCAGCAGAAUCAAUAUUCCCUAUUCAUCCUUCAAAGAUGUCUCUUUACAGCGCGUUCAAACUUGGGGACCUGAGCAUAGACCUCCUUACCUUAUCUCUAUCCUUUGCUCCAUGCACUGUGAUUCGUGCACCUUAAUGAGACAAGUAGCAAUGUAAGAUGUCACCUGUAGCUCCGUGCACAUAAGAACAGGCAAAUCCAUGGACCUUCUGUAGACCUUACAAAGGUAUUUUCCCAAUGCACUGCGUUGAUUGGCAGAGAUCUGAGUAAUGACCUCCAAUGUAGAACAAAAGGGGCUUUGCAGGGAAGAGGUUCGCAGUGUCCUUUCUAUGCUCUGCACAAACCACGCCAUGGAGGUGCUCAGUCUGCUCCUACCGUGCAACAGUAGGCAAGGUGAUAGAGUGCACAACGUGGAUAAAACCCAUGAGAUCCUUCCUCCCCAUUGACCCCAGAGCCCAAAAUGAUUGCCUAGCUGUCCUAAGUGGGUAAGGAGAGUGAUUUUGUGACCUACAGACAGGGAUGUGGCCACACGGAGCUCAUCCAGCGGCGCUCACUGUGGCUCAACACCCAACGGGAGGAUUUUCAUCCCAGAGCUGAAUUCUGUUUUCUUCUGUUUCUCG